RNAcentral lists this ribosomal RNA (630 nucleotides) under Paenibacillus sp. RNAcentral's name for it is "bacterial SSU rRNA". It matches the Rfam family "Bacterial small subunit ribosomal RNA", at positions 199 to 816 of the family's 1533-position model. Lineage: Bacteria; Bacillati; Bacillota; Bacilli; Caryophanales; Paenibacillaceae. The record is from RNAcentral.
CAUGAAACACGGAGCAAUCUGUGGCUUAUAGAUGGGCCUGCGGCGCAUUAGCUAGUUGGUAGGGUAACGGCCUACCAAGGCGACGAUGCGUAGCCGACCUGAGAGGGUGAACGGCCACACUGGGACUGAGACACGGCCCAGACUCCUACGGGAGGCAGCAGUAGGGAAUCUUCCGCAAUGGACGCAAGUCUGACGGAGCAACGCCGCGUGAGUGAUGAAGGUUUUCGGAUCGUAAAGCUCUGUUGCCCUAGACGAACAGCAAGGCGAGUAACUGCGCUUUGUGUGACGGUAUAGGAGAAGAAAGCCCCGGCUAACUACGUGCCAGCAGCCGCGGUAAUACGUAGGGGGCAAGCGUUGUCCGGAAUUAUUGGGCGUAAAGCGCGCGCAGGCGGUUAAUUAAGUUGGGUGUUUAAGCCCGGGGCUCAACCCCGGUUCGCAUCCAAAACUGGUUGACUUGAGUGUAGGAGAGGAAAGUGGAAUUCCACGUGUAGCGGUGAAAUGCGUAGAGAUGUGGAGGAACACCAGUGGCGAAGGCGACUUUCUGGCCUAUAACUGACGCUGAGGCGCGAAAGCGUGGGGGAGCAAACAGGAUUAGAUACCCUGGUAGUCCACGCCGUAAACGAUGCAUAC